RNAcentral lists this long non-coding RNA (432 nucleotides) under Bos indicus x Bos taurus (hybrid cattle). Its description in RNAcentral is "lncRNA (ENSBIXG00005026233.1)". The record is from RNAcentral. Lineage: Eukaryota; Metazoa; Chordata; Mammalia; Artiodactyla; Bovidae.
GUGUCCUCCCUGUCCCGUACAGACAUUCCCAUUAGCCACUAUAGUAUUCCUACUUUUGCCCUAGCUACAAUAUGAUGAUACAAACAUCCUUUGUCCAACUGGCAAAACAGGGAGAGGAUCAGAUCAUAAUUUCCUGAACUGGUCUUUUGGGAAACUUAAACCUCUGAGUUCCUGUAGACUGAGCUCCUCAAGGGGAUGGAGAAAAGCUGCUGUGGAAACUCAUUCAGCAGCUUGGCCCUGGGGCAUGGAUGGAUAGCCUCUGUGCUCACAGGAAGCAGCCAGGGCUCAGCAGGCAUUGUUCUAGGAAAUACAGCAGAAAUACAGAAUACCAGAAAUGCAGCAGUGAAGAAAGCCAAAAUUUGUGUCCCCUUGGAGUUUAUAGUUCAUGAGGAACUAAAAUAUGAACCAGCCAGAAAGAAGAGAUUUGGUUGA